GCCAGGCGUGGUGGCCCACACCUGUAAUCCCAGUACUUUGGGAGGCUGAGAUGGGUGGAUCACCUGAGGUCAGGAGUUCAAGACUAGCCUGGCCAACAUGGUGAAACCUAUCUCUA
This is an unclassified non-coding RNA of Macaca mulatta (Rhesus monkey), 116 nucleotides long. It matches the Rfam family "Metazoan signal recognition particle RNA". Rfam says of the family: The signal recognition particle (SRP) is a universally conserved ribonucleoprotein. It is involved in the co-translational targeting of proteins to membranes. The record is from Ensembl. Lineage: Eukaryota; Metazoa; Chordata; Mammalia; Primates; Cercopithecidae.